UACGGAGGGUGCAAGCGUUAUCCGGAUUCACUGGGUUUAAAGGGUGCGUAGGCGGGCAUUUAAGUCAGUGGUGAAAUACCUGAGCUUAACUUGGGAACUGCCAUUGAUACUAUUUGUCUUGAAUGUCGUGGAGGUUAGCGGAAUAUGUCAUGUAGCGGUGAAAUGCUUAGAUAUGACAUAGAACACCUAUUGCGAAGGCAGCUAACUAAGCGAAUAUUGACGCUGAGGCACGAAAGCGUGGGGAUCAAACAGG
This 253-nucleotide ribosomal RNA is filed under the name uncultured bacterium. RNAcentral's name for it is "partial 16S ribosomal RNA". It matches the Rfam family "Bacterial small subunit ribosomal RNA", at positions 524 to 776 of the family's 1533-position model. The record is from RNAcentral.